Bombyx mori (domestic silkworm) is the source of this 1109-nucleotide long non-coding RNA. RefSeq lists it as uncharacterized. Lineage: Eukaryota; Metazoa; Arthropoda; Insecta; Lepidoptera; Bombycidae. The record is from RefSeq and is a predicted model, not a curated record. The transcript has 2 exons.
UUUUUAAUUAGACGAAGCCAGCUGACAGUAGCUAAUGUCACUUUGUGAAAUAAUGUUGCUAUAUUUAAAGUAAUAGUGAUGCGUUCAGUUCUCAUUUAAUCACAUGAAUGAACAAUGAGUGUGAAGAGUUAAUCAUUAAUUUCAAACUAUAAAAGAAUAUUAUUUAUAUUUUACAAUAAAAUUGUAUUAAAGUGCUCCAAUAUAUGUUACUAGUAGUAUGUAACUACAAUCAGUUUUUUUAUUUUCAUUACCUACCUAUAAUUGUUAUAUUUUAUACAUCUAUAAUUUCAACUAUAUGAUGUAUUGGAAAUAGGACAGUCUUACAAGCUUCCUCGCAAUGUUUUUCUUAAUGUUUAAAACACUCGGUAUUCAGUACAGGUAGAUACUAUAGGAACAUAAUAUUUCGUCGAAAACUCGUUGGUAUGUUAAAAGCACGCCUAAAAUUCGAACCCCGUACCCGAUAUCGGCAAUUCGGCACACCUACUAUUCACUAGACAAUCGAGGCAAUUUCAUUAAUUCAGGAGUUUUUCAAUCGUUCACUUUGUCACAACACUAUUUUUAUUUCAUCAAAAACUGACAACACAGUAAACGUCAGUUGACUUCGUAUAAUAAAAAAUCCGACUAUAACAGAAAGGCCUACGUAACUAUUUUACCUAAUAAUUGUCUACUUUAAUAGUUUUUCUAUUUUUCAUUCAUGUUUGCUACCUCAAUACAAGAAUGUCUAUAAACCUACUCAAUUAUUUGUCGUACUUGACAGGGGAUCGGGAGGAUCCGAAGUGACAUGUUUUGGACGACGAUGAUUGUUUACCAUUUGAUCCUCUGGAUCGGGAAAAAUACUCAAAAACAGCGGGCGAUUUACAGAAACAGAGAGGCGCUCAAUAUGUUCCGAGAUAUCAAAUGGCAAACACCGUGUUGGCGCGCCCGAAAGCGAAAAUGUCCAACCGUCAUUCCACAGGACUAAGCACGGUUUCUGGUCUAACGUUCAAUGUGUAAAAGAAAACUUCACAAAUCUGUAUUAAAAAAAAAAACACAAAAACGUCAAGUAAAACACGUAAACGUAAAUUAAUAAAUCUAUAAUUUAAUAAAUACUCUAAAUUAAUCAGCCGAAA